AGUGAACGCUGGCGGCAGGCCUAAUACAUGCAAGUCGAACGGCAGCACGGCAGAGCUUGCUCUGUGGGUGGCGAGUGGCGGACGGGUGAGGAAUACAUGGGAAUCUGCCCAAUCGUGGGGGAUAACGUAGGGAAACUUACGCUAAUACCGCAUGCGCCCUUCGGGGGAAAGCCGGGGACCUUCGGGCCUGGCGCGAUUGGAUGAGCCCAUGUCGGAUUAGCUAGUUGGCGGGUAAUGGCCCACCAAGGCGACGAUCCGUAGCUGGUCUGAGAGGAUGAUCAGCCACACUGGAACUGAGACACGGUCCAGACUCCUACGGGAGGCAGCAGUAGGGAAUAUUGGACAAUGGGCGCAAGCCUGAUCCAGCCAUGCCGCGUGAGUGAAGAAGGCCCUCGGGGUUGUAAAAGCUCUUUUGUCCCGGAAAAGAAAAGCGCCGGGUUAAUACCCUGGUGUCCUGACGGUACCGGAAGAAUAAGCACCGGCUAACUUCGUGCCAGCAGCCCG
Molecule: ribosomal RNA, 504 nt
Filed under: uncultured bacterium
Lineage: Bacteria
Description: bacterial SSU rRNA
Rfam family: Bacterial small subunit ribosomal RNA
Source: RNAcentral